GAGCGAGGCCCUCCUUCAGGGGGGUGCCCUAGCGGCGAACGGGUGAGUAACACGUGGGCAACCUGCCCUCAGCUCUGGGAUAACUCCAAGAAAUUGGUGCUAAUACCGGAUGUGACCGCUGACCGCAUGGUCUGGUGGUGGAAAGAUUCAUCGGCUGAGGAUGGGCCCGCGGCCUAUCAGCUUGUUGGUGGGGUGAUGGCCCACCAAGGCGACGACGGGUAGCCGGCCUGAGAGGGUGACCGGCCACACUGGGACUGAGACACGGCCCAGACUCCUACGGGAGGCAGCAGUGGGGAAUAUUGCGCAAUGGGCGAAAGCCUGACGCAGCGACGCCGCGUGAGGGAUGACGGCCUUCGGGUUGUAAACCUCUUUCAGUAGGGACGAAGCGCAAGUGACGGUACCUACAGAAGAAGCACCGGCCAACUACGUGCCAGCAGCCGCGGUAAUACGUAGGGUGCAAGCGUUGUCCGGAAUUAUUGGGCGUAAAGAGCUCGUAGGCGGUCUGUCACGUCGGCUGUGAAAACCCGAGGCUCAACCUCGGGCCUGCAGUCGAUACGGGCAAACUAGAGUACUGCAGGGGAGACUGGAAUUCCUGGUGUAGCGGUGAAAUGCGCAGAUAUCAGGAGGAACACCGGUGGCGAAGGCGGGUCUCUGGGCAGUAACUGACGCUGAGGAGCGAAAGCGUGGGGAGCGAACAGGAUUAGAUACCCUGGUAGUCCACGCCGUAAACGUUGGGCGCUAGGUGUGGGGGCCAUUCCACGGUCUCCGUGCCGCAGCUAACGCAUUAAGCGCCCGCCUGGGGAGUACGGCCGCAAGGCUAAAACUCAAAGGAAUUGACGGGGGCCCGCACAAGCGGCGGAGCAUGUUGCUUAAUUCGAUGCAACGCGAAGAACCUUACCUAGGCUUGACAUGCACGGAAAUCUCGUAGAGAUACGGGGUGCCUUUGGCGUCGUGCACAGGUGGUGCAUGGUUGUCGUCAGCUCGUGUCGUGAGAUGUUGGGUUAAGUCCCGCAACGAGCGCAACCCUCGUUCUAUGUUGCCAGCACGUGAUGGUGGGGACUCAUAGGAGACUGCCGGGGUCAACUCGGAGGAAGGUGGGGAUGACGUCAAAUCAUCAUGCCCCUUAUGUCUAGGGCUGCAAACAUGCUACAAUGGCCGGUACAAAGGGCUGCGAUACCGCGAGGUGGAGCGAAUCCCAAAAAGCCGGUCUCAGUUCGGAUUGGGGUCUGCAACUCGACCCCAUGAAGUUGGAGUCGCUAGUAAUCGCAGAUCAGCAACGCUGCGGUGAAUACGUUCCCGGGCCUUGUACACACCGCCCGUCACGUCACGAAAGUCGGUAACGCCCGAAGCCGGUGGCCCAACCCUUGUGGAGGGAGCCGUCGAAGGCGGGAUCGGCGA
This 1398-nucleotide ribosomal RNA is filed under the name Modestobacter sp. 1G51. RNAcentral describes it as "bacterial SSU rRNA". It matches the Rfam family "Bacterial small subunit ribosomal RNA". The record is from RNAcentral. Lineage: Bacteria; Bacillati; Actinomycetota; Actinomycetes; Geodermatophilales; Geodermatophilaceae.